UACGUAGGUGGCAAGCGUUGUCCGGAUUUACUGGGCGUAAAGAGCGCGCAGGCGGUCGUUCAAGUCGCGUGUGAAAGCCCCCGGCUCAACUGGGGAGGGUCACGCGAUACUGAUCGACUCGAAGGCAGGAGAGGGUAGUGGAAUUCCCGGUGUAGCGGUGAAAUGCGUAGAUAUCGGAAGGAACACCAGUGGCGAAAGCGGCUUCCUGGUCCAGCACCGACGUUCAGGCACGAAAGCGUGGGGAGCAAACAGG
This 253-nucleotide ribosomal RNA is filed under the name uncultured bacterium. RNAcentral describes it as "partial 16S ribosomal RNA". It matches the Rfam family "Bacterial small subunit ribosomal RNA", at positions 524 to 776 of the family's 1533-position model. The record is from RNAcentral.